UAUGGAGAGUUUGAUCCUGGCUCAGAGUGAACGCUGGCGGCGUGCCUAAUACAUGCAAGUCGAACGAUGAAGCUUCUAGCUUGCUAGAAUGCUGAUUAGUGGCGCACGGGUGAGUAACGCAUAGGUUAUGUGCCUCUUAGUUUGGGAUAGCCAUUGGAAACGAUGAUUAAUACCAGAUACUCCCUACGGGGGAAAGAUUUAUCGCUAAGAGAUCAGCCUAUGUCCUAUCAGCUUGUUGGUAAGGUAAUGGCUUACCAAGGCUAUGACGGGUAUCCGGCCUGAGAGGGUGAACGGACACACUGGAACUGAGACACGGUCCAGACUCCUACGGGAGGCAGCAGUAGGGAAUAUUGCUCAAUGGGGGAAACCCUGAAGCAGCAACGCCGCGUGGAGGAUGAAGGUUUUAGGAUUGUAAACUCCUUUUGUUAGAGAAGAUAAUGACGGUAUCUAACGAAUAAGCACCGGCUAACUCCGUGCCAGCAGCCGCGGUAAUACGGAGGGUGCAAGCGUUACUCGGAAUCACUGGGCGUAAAGAGCGCGUAGGCGGGAUAGUCAGUCAGGUGUGAAAUCCUAUGGCUUAACCAUAGAACUGCAUUUGAAACUACUAUUCUAGAGUGUGGGAGAGGUAGGUGGAAUUCUUGGUGUAGGGGUAAAAUCCGUAGAGAUCAAGAGGAAUACUCAUUGCGAAGGCGACCUGCUGGAACAUUACUGACGCUGAUUGCGCGAAAGCGUGGGGAGCAAACAGGAUUAGAUACCCUGGUAGUCCACGCCCUAAACGAUGGAUGCUAGUUGUUGGAGGGCUUAGUCUCUCCAGUAAUGCAGCUAACGCAUUAAGCAUCCCGCCUGGGGAGUACGGUCGCAAGAUUAAAACUCAAAGGAAUAGACGGGGACCCGCACAAGCGGUGGAGCAUGUGGUUUAAUUCGAAGAUACACGAAGAACCUUACCUAGGCUUGACAUUGAGAGAAUCCGCUAGAAAUAGUGGAGUGUCUGGCUUGCCAGACCUUGAAAACAGGUGCUGCACGGCUGUCGUCAGCUCGUGUCGUGAGAUGUUGGGUUAAGUCCCGCAACGAGCGCAACCCCCUUUCUUAGUUGCUAACAGGUUAUGCUGAGAACUCUAAGGAUACUGCCUCCGUAAGGAGGAGGAAGGUGGGGACGACGUCAAGUCAUCAUGGCCCUUACGCCUAGGGCUACACACGUGCUACAAUGGGGUGCACAAAGAGAAGCAAUACUGCGAAGUGGAGCCAAUCUUCAAAACACCUCUCAGUUCGGAUUGUAGGCUGCAACUCGCCUGCAUGAAGCUGGAAUCGCUAGUAAUCGCAAAUCAGCCAUGUUGCGGUGAAUACGUUCCCGGGUCUUGUACUCACCGCCCGUCACACCAUGGGAGUUGUGUUUGCCUUAAGUCAGGAUGCUAAAUUGGCUACUGCCCACGGCACACACAGCGACUGGGGUGAAGUCGUAACAAGGUAACCGUAGGUGAACCUGCGGUUGGAUCACCUCCUU
RNAcentral lists this ribosomal RNA (1501 nucleotides) under Helicobacter pylori. RNAcentral's name for it is "bacterial SSU rRNA". It matches the Rfam family "Bacterial small subunit ribosomal RNA". Lineage: Bacteria; Pseudomonadati; Campylobacterota; Epsilonproteobacteria; Campylobacterales; Helicobacteraceae. The record is from RNAcentral.